This is a long non-coding RNA of Hypanus sabinus (Atlantic stingray), 1631 nucleotides long. RefSeq lists it as uncharacterized. NCBI's taxonomy places the organism in Eukaryota, Metazoa, Chordata, Chondrichthyes, Myliobatiformes, Dasyatidae. The transcript has 3 exons. The record is from RefSeq and is a predicted model, not a curated record.
UAGAGGUCAGUGGCCGGUCUUUGUGCGAGGUUUAUAAAGGCUUGCACUGCUAAAGGGCUGACGAAUUGCUUAAGGAGAAGCGAGCGAGCGAGGAUCGAAAUGACUGCCUCAUCUGCUUACCCUGCCUGCCUGGUCAUUGCCAAGGAGUUUCCAGAAGGCAAAGUUGCCACCUGGACACUCAACCCAGUGUGGAUGGGAAACGUGCAAGAAGCUGGUCAGGUUUGAACUCAGGCCCGCUCGCCUCAAAGUCCAGUGCAGACACUACCACACCACCGGACCGGAGGAACGUUGUUCUGCUUGGCAGCAGACGUGUGAUGUUGAACGACAACAAACUUGACCUUUGAAACAUCUGCCCUGGGCCACUGAGAUCUGCCUCGCUCCUUCCUACAGCUGUUUCGGGCAUAAGACAGACACAAGCUUCAGAAGACAUACCACAGGCACAAGGACAACUUCUACACCUCUGUUACAGAACUCUUCAACAGACCUCUGUUACAAUAAAAAUCAAGACCUCAUGAUCUACUCCUUGGACCUGAUUGCCUGCAAAUUCUGCCAUGGACGGGGCCACGUCCGGCUGCGAAAGGAUGGGAGUUGGGCAGAGCUACACAAACGCUGACGGAAGCUCCAGCCAACUUACCCCUGGGAGAGGAAAGACCUUCGAAGGUGGGGUAGCCCGGGGUCAACCCGAAAGACUGGCCCAGGACAGAGAAGUCUGGUGAGCUGCAGACUAUGGCUGACCUAUGCCCUAGCAGGGCAAAGGGCUGAAGAAGCAUUGUACCCUCUCUGUAAUACAUCUUGCAUUCCGUUUUCUCCUUGCAAUACAUGGUGUGCUUUUCGCUGUACAUGUGAGAAUAAUAAGCUGAUUAUCGAAUAAAUGCAAGGGGAAAGAUGAAAAAAAAAACUCAUUGUGUAGAAACUUAAACGUGCCAGAGUACACAGCAGUAUCUGAAAAGACUCAAAUGUCAUAACAUCAGGAUGGAAAACGCUCUUCCUCACUCUAUCAGGAGCUGGCCAGUCCAUUCACUUCAUAUUCCUUCUCUUGCCUUUCCCAGUUUCAUAAAAUGCAGGCACAUACAGAGGUGGGGGGAAGAGAGUGGAGUCAUACCUAGUUAAUGCUCCAGAUAGUGUGUGUUCCAAACAGUCUCUGACAACCCAGUCCAGCUCCUGGCCUUCACGUGCGGCUUAGCUACUAAGCCCAGUGGAACCGUUUCUACUAACAGGAGGAAGGGGCAGAGGCAGAUUACUUGCACCUUAAAACCAGUCGCUUCGGACAGAUGGGGCUUGUCAGCUCAUCUAGGAGAAGGAAAACUCUGAUCUCAAACCUCCGUGGCCUUGCAGCUGUACCCAAUCACAGGGGAAGGCUUUGGCAGUAAAAUCCAGAGCUAGAGUCCCUAAGGCAGUUUGACGUUGAGUUCAAUGCUGACUGGUAACUCCUGCAACGCUGCUGGUGACAAACUGUAUCGGUCUUUGCUGUUCCUUCGGGCUCAUCAGCUGUGUGGAGAAGGGGGAGCCUGCUACAAGGGCAUCAGCUUGCUCCCUGCAUCGUACCACCCUGGCUCAUGCAUCCAGUCAGCUAGGAUGCAAUAUCCACAGCUGACCCCCGACCAACGAAGGGCUCCCAAUGGUAGUCAGAG